UUAACGCUGGCGGCGUGCCUAACACAUGCAAGUCGAACGAAAUAUCUUCGGAUAUUUAGUGGCGAACGGGUGAGGUAAUGUACAGGUAAUGUACCUUCGUACUGCGAAUAACAAGCUGAAAAGUUUGCUAAUACGGAAUAGUUUCAUUAGGGGGCAUCCUUUGAUGAAUAAAGAUUUAUCGUGCGGAGAUCAGCCUGUAUCCUAUUAGUUAGUUGGUGGGGUAAUGGCCUACCAAGACGACGAUGGGUAACUGGUCUGAGAGGAUGAGCAGUCACAUUGGAACUGAGAUACGGUCCAAACUCCUACGGGAGGCAGCAGUGAGGAAUUUUGCGCAAUGGGGGAAACCCUGACGCCAGCAACGCCGUGUGAGUGAAGACGGCCUUCGGGUUGUAAAGCUCUGUCGUGUAUGACGAGUAGGGACGGUAAUACACAAGGAAGCCUCGGCUAACUACGUGCCAGCCGCUGC
Molecule: ribosomal RNA, 466 nt
Filed under: uncultured bacterium
Lineage: Bacteria
Description: bacterial SSU rRNA
Rfam family: Bacterial small subunit ribosomal RNA
Source: RNAcentral